GAUAUGAGGGCAAUGUGGUUGCUACAUGUGACCCCAUUGAUUGCCAGGAUAGAUUCUGCUGGCCUGGGGCACAGGGGACAUUCCUUUAUUCCUUUAUCACUC
Cricetulus griseus (Chinese hamster) is the source of this 102-nucleotide unclassified non-coding RNA. Its record names the gene 7SK. It matches the Rfam family "7SK RNA". From Rfam's summary of the family: 7SK was discovered as an abundant small nuclear RNA in the mid-70s but a possible function has only recently been suggested. Two independent studies have found that 7SK RNA binds the CDK9/cyclin T complex (known as elongation factor P-TEFb). P-TEFb activates transcription by phosphorylating the C-terminal domain of RNA polymerase II. The record is from Ensembl. NCBI's taxonomy places the organism in Eukaryota, Metazoa, Chordata, Mammalia, Rodentia, Cricetidae.